GGCGACAUGGCCAGUGGUAGGGCAGAGGACUGCAAAUCCUUUUUUCCCCAGUUCAAAUCCGGGUGUCGCCU
This 71-nucleotide transfer RNA is filed under the name Datura stramonium (jimsonweed). Its description in RNAcentral is "tRNA-Cys". It matches the Rfam family "tRNA". Rfam says of the family: Transfer RNA (tRNA) molecules are approximately 80 nucleotides in length. Their secondary structure includes four short double-helical elements and three loops (D, anti-codon, and T loops). Further hydrogen bonds mediate the characteristic L-shaped molecular structure. tRNAs have two regions of fundamental functional importance: the anti-codon, which is responsible for specific mRNA codon recognition, and the 3' end, to which the tRNAs corresponding amino acid is attached (by aminoacyl-tRNA synthetases). tRNAs cope with the degeneracy of the genetic code in two manners: having more than one tRNA (with a specific anti-codon) for a particular amino acid; and 'wobble' base-pairing, i.e. permitting non-standard base-pairing at the 3rd anti-codon position. Lineage: Eukaryota; Viridiplantae; Streptophyta; Magnoliopsida; Solanales; Solanaceae. The record is from RNAcentral.